This 253-nucleotide ribosomal RNA is filed under the name uncultured bacterium. RNAcentral's name for it is "partial 16S ribosomal RNA". It matches the Rfam family "Bacterial small subunit ribosomal RNA", at positions 524 to 776 of the family's 1533-position model. The record is from RNAcentral.
UACGUAGGGUGCAAGCGUUAAUCGGAAUUAUUGGGCGUAAAGAGCUCGUAGGCGGUUUGUCGCGUCUGCCGUGAAAGUCCGGGGCUCAACUCCGGAUCUGCGGUGGGUACGGGCAGACUAGAGUGCAGUAGGGGAGACUGGAAUUCCUGGUGUAGCGGUGAAAUGCGCAGAUAUCAGGAGGAACACCGAUGGCGAAGGCAGGUCUCUGGGCUGUAACUGACGCUGAGGAGCGAAAGCAUGGGGAGCGAACAGG